CUCGCAAGAGAGGUCAACGGGGGGAACUGAAACAUCUCAGUACCCUCAGGAAAAGAAAACAAAAGUGAUUCCCUUAGUAGUGGCGAGCGAACGGGGAGUAGCCCAAACCGCAGAUGUUUCGGCAUCUACGGGGUUGUAGGAGUAACACUAAUGUACUAUGCACUUGUAGAAGAACGACAUGGAAAUGUCGACCAUAGAGGGUGACAGUCCCGUAUUUGAAACGAGUUUAUAGACAGAGUUACCACCUGAGUAGCGCGGGACACGAGAAAUCCUGUGUGAAUCUGCGGGGCCCAUCCCGUAAGGCUAAAUACUUCCAAGAGACCGAUAGUGAACAAGUACCGUGAGGGAAAGGUGAAAAGAACCUCGAUAAGAGGAGUGCAAUAGACCCUGAAACCAUCUGCUUACAAGCGGUAGGAGCCCCUUCGUGGGGUGACUGCGUGCCUUUUGCAUAAUGAACCUACGAGUUACCGUUGCCGGCAAGGUUAAGUACAGGUAAGUACGGAACCGGAGCGAAAGCGAGUCUGAAUAGGGCGACGAGUCGGUAGAGGUAGACGCGAAACCAAGUGAUCUACCCUUGGUCAGGUUGAAGGAUAGGUAACACUAUCUGGAGGACCCAACCGGUAAGCGUUGAAAAGCUUUCGGAUGAACUGAGGGUAGGGGUGAAAGGCUAAUCAAACUUGGAGAUAGCUCGUACUCCCCGAAAUGCAUUUAGGUGCAGCCUUUGGUGUUUCUUGUAUGAGGUAGAGCGACUGAUUGGAUGCGAGGCUUUCACCGGCUAUCAAGUCCAGACAAACUCCGAAUGCGUACAAGUCAUAGCCAAGGAGUGAGGGCAUGGGUGCUAAGGUCCAUGUCCUAAAGGAGAACAAUCCGGACCAUCGGCUAAGGUCCCGAAAUCACUACUAAGUUGGACAAACGAAGUCAAGAUGCGAAGACAGCUAGGAUGUUGGCUUGGAAGCAGCCAUUCAUUUAAAGAGUGCGUAACAGCUCACUAGUCGAGGAUUUUGGCGUGGAUAAUAAUCGGGCAUAAGUAGUGUACCGAAGCUGUGGGAUGUGAAUACAUCGGUAGGGGAGCAUUCCUAUUGAGUUGAAGAUACAGGGGCGACCUGUGUUGGAUCGAUAGGAAAAGCAAAUGUAGGUAUAAGUAACGAUAAAGGGGGCGAGAAACCCCCUCGCCGAAAGACUAAGGUUUCCUGAUCAACGCUAAUCGGAUCAGGGUUAGUCGGGGCCUAAGGAUAAGCCUAAUGGCGAUUCCGAUGGAAGAACUGGUUAAUAUUCCAGUACUAAUAUAUUGAGUGAUGUGGAGACGGAGAAGUGACACUACUGCCGACUGACGGAAUAGUUGGUUGAAGGGUGUAGAUAAUUGGUUUGUAGGCAAAUCCGCAGACCGAGUCGAACCUGAGAGUACACUGCGUGCGUGCACAAAGUGAUAAUGUAGGUAAGCCAGCUCCCAAGAAAACCCGCUAAACAAUUGAUAUAUUACCCGUACCACAAACCGACACAGGUGGUUGGGUUGAGUAUACUAAGGCGCUCGAGAGAUUCGCGGUUAAGGAACUAGGCAAAAUGGUCCUGUAACUUCGGGAGAAAGGACGCCAGUGGCGACACUGGCCGCAGAGCAUAGGCCCAUGCGACUGUUUAACAAAAACAUAUGGCUGUGCAAAAUAGAAAUAUCACGUAUACAGCCUGACACCUGCCCGGUGCUGGAAGGUUAAGAGGAGAUGUCAUCGCAAGAGAAGCAUUGAAUUGAAGCCCCAGUAAACGGCGGCCGUAACUAUAACGGUCCUAAGGUAGCGAAAUUCCUUGUCGGGUAAGUUCCGACCUGCACGAAUGGUGUAA
RNAcentral lists this ribosomal RNA (1833 nucleotides) under human gut metagenome. RNAcentral describes it as "bacterial LSU rRNA". It matches the Rfam family "Bacterial large subunit ribosomal RNA", at positions 167 to 2004 of the family's 2925-position model. The record is from RNAcentral.